RNAcentral lists this ribosomal RNA (785 nucleotides) under uncultured bacterium. Its description in RNAcentral is "bacterial SSU rRNA". It matches the Rfam family "Bacterial small subunit ribosomal RNA", at positions 8 to 796 of the family's 1533-position model. The record is from RNAcentral.
AGAGUUUGAUCAUGGCUCAGAUGAACGCUGGCGGCAUGCCUCACACAUGCAAGUCGAACGCAGCGCGGGCNNNCUGGCGGCGAGUGCGAACGGGUGAGUAAUAUAUCGGAACGUGCCCUGGAGUGGGGGAUAACGCAGCGAAAGUUGCGCUAAUACCGCAUACGAUCUAAGGAUGAAAGCAGGGGACCGCAAGGCCUUGUGCUCCUGGAGCGGCCGAUAUCUGAUUAGCUAGUUGGUGGGGUAAAGGCCUACCAAGGCAUCGAUCAGUAGCUGGUCUGAGAGGACGACCAGCCACACUGGAACUGAGACACGGUCCAGACUCCUACGGGAGGCAGCAGUGGGGAAUUUUGGACAAUGGGCGAAAGCCUGAUCCAGCAAUGCCGCGUGAGUGAAGAAGGCCUUCGGGUUGUAAAGCUCUUUUGUCAGGGAAGAAACGGUAUGGGCUAAUAUCCCGUACUAAUGACGGUACCUGAAGAAUAAGCACCGGCUAACUACGUGCCAGCAGCCGCGGUAAUACGUAGGGUGCAAGCGUUAAUCGGAAUUACUGGGCGUAAAGCGUGCGCAGGCGGUUUUGUAAGUUUGUCGUGAAAGCCCCGGGCUCAACCUGGGAAUUGCGAUGAAGACUGCAAGGCUUGAAUCUGGCAGAGGGGGGUAGAAUUCCACGUAGCAGUGAAAUGCGUAGAGAUGUGGAGGAACACCGAUGGCGAAGGCAGCCCCCUGGGUCAAGAUUGACGCUCAUGCACGAAAGCGUGGGGAGCAAACAGGAUUAGAUACCCUAGUAGUCC